UACGGAGGGUGCAAGCGUUAUUCGGAAUCAUUGGGUGUAAAGCGCGUGUAGGCGGCCAAGUAAGUCAGAUGUGAAAGCUCUCGGCUUAACCGGGAAAGUGCAUUUGAAACUGCUUGGCUUGAGUCCCGGAGAGGAAGGUGGAAUUCCCAGUGUAGAGGUGAAAUUCGUAGAUAUUGGGAGGAACAUCGGUGGCGAAGGCGACCUUCUGGACGGUGACUGACGCUGAGACG
Molecule: ribosomal RNA, 230 nt
Filed under: uncultured bacterium
Lineage: Bacteria
Description: partial 16S ribosomal RNA
Rfam family: Bacterial small subunit ribosomal RNA
Source: RNAcentral